RNAcentral lists this ribosomal RNA (1529 nucleotides) under Klebsiella pneumoniae. Its description in RNAcentral is "bacterial SSU rRNA". It matches the Rfam family "Bacterial small subunit ribosomal RNA". Lineage: Bacteria; Pseudomonadati; Pseudomonadota; Gammaproteobacteria; Enterobacterales; Enterobacteriaceae. The record is from RNAcentral.
AGAGUUUUGAUCAUGGCUCAGAUUGAACGCUGGCGGCAGGCCUAACACAUGCAAGUCGAGCGGUAGCACAGAGAGCUUGCUCUCGGGUGACGAGCGGCGGACGGGUGAGUAAUGUCUGGGAAACUGCCUGAUGGAGGGGGAUAACUACUGGAAACGGUAGCUAAUACCGCAUAAUGUCGCAAGACCAAAGUGGGGGACCUUCGGGCCUCAUGCCAUCAGAUGUGCCCAGAUGGGAUUAGCUAGUAGGUGGGGUAACGGCUCACCUAGGCGACGAUCCCUAGCUGGUCUGAGAGGAUGACCAGCCACACUGGAACUGAGACACGGUCCAGACUCCUACGGGAGGCAGCAGUGGGGAAUAUUGCACAAUGGGCGCAAGCCUGAUGCAGCCAUGCCGCGUGUGUGAAGAAGGCCUUCGGGUUGUAAAGCACUUUCAGCGGGGAGGAAGGCGGUGAGGUUAAUAACCUCACCGAUUGACGUUACCCGCAGAAGAAGCACCGGCUAACUCCGUGCCAGCAGCCGCGGUAAUACGGAGGGUGCAAGCGUUAAUCGGAAUUACUGGGCGUAAAGCGCACGCAGGCGGUCUGUCAAGUCGGAUGUGAAAUCCCCGGGCUCAACCUGGGAACUGCAUUCGAAACUGGCAGGCUAGAGUCUUGUAGAGGGGGGUAGAAUUCCAGGUGUAGCGGUGAAAUGCGUAGAGAUCUGGAGGAAUACCGGUGGCGAAGGCGGCCCCCUGGACAAAGACUGACGCUCAGGUGCGAAAGCGUGGGGAGCAAACAGGAUUAGAUACCCUGGUAGUCCACGCCGUAAACGAUGUCGAUUUGGAGGUUGUGCCCUUGAGGCGUGGCUUCCGGAGCUAACGCGUUAAAUCGACCGCCUGGGGAGUACGGCCGCAAGGUUAAAACUCAAAUGAAUUGACGGGGGCCCGCACAAGCGGUGGAGCAUGUGGUUUAAUUCGAUGCAACGCGAAGAACCUUACCUGGUCUUGACAUCCACAGAACUUUCCAGAGAUGGAUUGGUGCCUUCGGGAACUGUGAGACAGGUGCUGCAUGGCUGUCGUCAGCUCGUGUUGUGAAAUGUUGGGUUAAGUCCCGCAACGAGCGCAACCCUUAUCCUUUGUUGCCAGCGGUUAGGCCGGGAACUCAAAGGAGACUGCCAGUGAUAAACUGGAGGAAGGUGGGGAUGACGUCAAGUCAUCAUGGCCCUUACGACCAGGGCUACACACGUGCUACAAUGGCAUAUACAAAGAGAAGCGACCUCGCGAGAGCAAGCGGACCUCAUAAAGUAUGUCGUAGUCCGGAUUGGAGUCUGCAACUCGACUCCAUGAAGUCGGAAUCGCUAGUAAUCGUAGAUCAGAAUGCUACGGUGAAUACGUUCCCGGGCCUUGUACACACCGCCCGUCACACCAUGGGAGUGGGUUGCAAAAGAAGUAGGUAGCUUAACCUUCGGGAGGGCGCUUACCACUUUGUGAUUCAUGACUGGGGUGAAGUCGUAACAAGGUAACCGUAGGGGAACCUGCGGUUGGAUCACCU